Long non-coding RNA from Vespa mandarinia (Asian giant hornet), 1068 nucleotides. The record is from RefSeq and is a predicted model, not a curated record. NCBI's taxonomy places the organism in Eukaryota, Metazoa, Arthropoda, Insecta, Hymenoptera, Vespidae.
AGAGAGAAAGAGAAAGAGGAAGAAAUAGAGAGAGAGAGAGAGAGAGAGAGAGAGAAAGAAAGAGAAAGAGAGGGAGGAUACUAUCCGUCGAGGUUGUAUCAAAUUGCGUGGAGACCAAGCACCGAGAAUAAAAUAUUCCACGUGACGAGAAGGGCGUUCAUUGGCUUGUAUUCACGACCGCGAAGAAAUGCUUGAGAAACCGAAUGCAAACAUUUUUAUUUAUUUUUUUUUUUCUUUCAUCAUCAAAAGGAAAAAAAAAAUAAAAAAGAAGAAAAAUGAUGACCAUCUUGACUUUUUCAUUGUGUAAUAACCGAUCGGAAUGACUUUGCACGACUGGUAACGAAGGACGUCUGACGCCUCCCUCGCAUAUAUUCCUUGUGCACAUUCGUAUACAAAUACGUAUAUGUACAUAUAUCUCUAGCCUAGUAUAAAUAGCGCCGGCGCAUACGUUGAUUCGUGAGAGGAAAGCUUUACAAUACCUCUUCCACGCGCGCGCUCUUUAGGGUCAAGGAUGCCGUGAGUGUAGGUGUGCCGCGACGCAGUCAUCCGUACCAAUGCCGUUGCCGCGAAGACGACGAGGAAAAUGACAACGACGACGACAACGACGACGACGACGACGAAAACGACGACGACGACAAAAACGACGAUGACGAAAACGACGAAGACGAAGACGAAGACGAAGACGAAGACGAAGACGAAGACGAAGACGAUGACGAUGACGAUGACGGAUGAUGAUGAUGAUAAUAGACGCCGUGGAAUCAAGGAAAGGGUGGUAUAAAGGCAGUAGGAGGAUGAUGAGGUGGAGGAGAAGGAGGAGGAGAAGGAGGAAUGAAAAAUGGCGGAGGUAGUAUGCACCGAAUGGUACACGACUGAAGCCGGUAAAACAUAUGUAUAUACGAGCGUGUAUGUUUUUAUGUAUGUAUGUAUGUACGUAUAUGUGUGUGUGUGUGUCUGUAUGCGCAUGCACGCGCGCGCUAUACAAUGUUUUUUCGUUGUUAUAUCUCGAAAAGUAUUUUGAUUCUUCGCCGAUUACAAAUGAAAAUAUAUUGUUUUGCACUUUUCACUUUA